This 496-nucleotide ribosomal RNA is filed under the name uncultured bacterium. RNAcentral's name for it is "partial 16S ribosomal RNA". It matches the Rfam family "Bacterial small subunit ribosomal RNA", at positions 29 to 507 of the family's 1533-position model. The record is from RNAcentral.
AUGAACGCUGGCGGCGUGCCUAAUACAUGCAAGUCAAGCGAACAGACGAGGAGCUUGCUCCUCUGACGUUAGCGGCGGACGGGUGAGUAACACGUGGAUAACCUACCUAUAAGACUGGGAUAACUUCGGGAAACCGGAGCUAAUACCGGAUAAUAUAUUGAACCGCAUGGUUCAAUAGUGAAAGACGGUUUUGCUUUCACUUAUAGAUGGAUCCGCGCCGCAUUAGCUAGUUGGUAAGGUAACGGCUUACCAAGGCGACGAUGCGUAGCCGACCUGAGAGGGUGAUCGGCCACACUGGAACUGAGACACGGUCCAGACUCCUACGGGAGGCAGCAGUAGGGAAUCUUCCGCAAUGGGCGAAAGCCUGACGGAGCAACGCCGCGUGAGUGAUGAAGGUCUUCGGAUCGUAAAACUCUGUUAUUAGGGAAGAACAAAUGUGUAAGUAACUAUGCACGUCUUGACGGUACCUAAUCAGAAAGCCACGGCUAACUACGUG